Molecule: non-coding RNA, 100 nt
Organism: Saitozyma sp. JCM 24511
Lineage: Eukaryota; Fungi; Basidiomycota; Tremellomycetes; Tremellales; Trimorphomycetaceae
Source: the annotation of a GenBank genome assembly
CUCACCUUAGCUCAGUUGGAUUAGAGCGUGGGAUUGUAAUUAGCUACACAGUGCGCUCUGCGCCCUCCCGAGGCCGUGCGUUCGAUUCGCACAGGUGAGA